This 497-nucleotide ribosomal RNA is filed under the name uncultured bacterium. RNAcentral describes it as "partial 16S ribosomal RNA". It matches the Rfam family "Bacterial small subunit ribosomal RNA", at positions 28 to 507 of the family's 1533-position model. The record is from RNAcentral.
GAUGAACGCUGGCGGCGUGCCUAAUACAUGCGAGUCGAGCGAACAGACGAGGAGCUUGCUCCUCUGGCGUUAGCGGCGGACGGGUGAGUAACACGUGGAUAACCUACCUAUAAGACUGGGAUAACUUCGGGAAACCGGAGCUAAUACCGGAUAAUAUAUUGAACCGCAUGGUUCAAUAGUGAAAGACGGUUUUGCUGUCACUUAUAGAUGGAUCCGCGCCGCAUUAGCUAGUUGGUAAGGUAACGGCUUACCAAGGCAACGAUGCGUAGCCGACCUGAGAGGGUGAUCGGCCACACUGGAACUGAGACACGGUCCAGACUCCUACGGGAGGCAGCAGUAGGGAAUCUUCCGCAAUGGGCGAAAGCUUGACGGAGCAACGCCGCGUGAGUGAUGAAGGUCUUCGGAUCGUAAAACUCUGUUAUUAGGGAAGAACAAAUGUGUAAGUAACUAUGCACGUCUUGACGGUACCUAAUCAGAAAGCCACGGCUAACUACGUG